This 1088-nucleotide long non-coding RNA is filed under the name Homo sapiens (human). RNAcentral describes it as "mir-99a-let-7c cluster host gene". Lineage: Eukaryota; Metazoa; Chordata; Mammalia; Primates; Hominidae. The record is from RNAcentral.
AGUGUUUCCUAGAGCCAUCUGCUGACAACACGAACAUUGGGCAUCUGACAGAGGAGAAAUAUUUAUAAGGUUUAGCUCCAGUAUCACAGGCAGAGCAAUGGAGGAUGGAUUUGGAGCUGCAAGGCAAUAAACUGGUAACUGAACAAAGCAAUUAAGUCAAUGAACACUGCUAUCCUACUGGCUUUGAAAUGAAGGCACACCCCUUCAGAGUGUACCCUAUCAGAAAGAAAGAAGAGGAAAAAAAAUUAUAAUUAUUAAUUCAUGAUGCUAUGCAGGCUUUGUGAGGUUGGAGGUAACUGCUAUUGAAGAAAUGCUUCAGGCCCUGGUCAACACAACGAAAGACAAUGAACAGAAAUCGCCAUUUGAUGUGAAGAGUGACUGUAAAGGAAGACAAGAAGAAGGCACAAGGAGAUUUGCUCCAAACUAGUUCUUCCCAUAAAAUCUCUGCCCCGGCCAGUUGCAGUGGCUCACGUCUGUAAUCCCAGCACUUUGAGAGGCCGAGACCAGUCCAAGAAGAUUGUAUAUAAGAGACACCUGAUAAUUUCAAAAUCCUAGGCCCACUUCCUGAGCUGAGCAAGCAUGCAACCUCAAAGAGAAAAGUUUGAGGAAAUCACUUCAAGGACAAAAAAUUGCAAUGUAAAGAGAAUUAUUUAUCUCCAAAUUCCAGAUUACCCCCCUGCCCAACCCCUGCCAGCAGCACCGUCCACAUGGUUUCUCAUUUAGUUUUGUGUUAGUUUAACAAAGUAGACUCUGCAAUCUGGAUAAAAUAGUAAGUCACCUCAGGUAGGUGCCAAUAGGAUGCUCCUUUGGACAUUGCAGAUUUUAAGUACUGUCUUUUUAUAAUACAGGAGGCAUGUACAAGUCUGUCAUAUGUGGAAAUGUUGUGAACCCAUCAUAUAUACAAUGUGCUGUUUUAGAAGAUAGAUUGUCCAUUUAGGUGUGUUAUAACAACCUAGAUGGGAAGUUACUUUCCGGUGUGUUCAAAGUUCCUUAUCUGAUUCUGCAGAGGCUGGGAUCUGAGCAGGUCACUCUAUCUCUGGAGGCCUGUUACUUGAUGAUAAAUACUAAUAAACAUCUCCCGUCAGACA